UAUACCGUGAAACUGCGAAUGGCUCAUUAAAUCAGUUAUCGUUUAUUUGAUAGUACCUUACUACUUGGAUAACCGUGGUAAUUCUAGAGCUAAUACAUGCUAAAAACCCCAACUUCGGGAGGGGUGUAUUUAUUAGAUAAAAAACCAAUGCCCUUCGGGGCUCUUUGGUGAUUCAUGAUAACUUCUCAGAUUCGCAUGGCCUUGCGCCGGCGACGGUUCAUUCAAAUUUCUGCCCUAUCAACUUUCGAUGGUAAGGUAUUGGCUUACCAUGGUUUCAACGGGUAACGGGGAAUUAGGGUUCGAUUCCGGAGAGGGAGCCUGAGAAACGGCUACCACAUCCAAGGAAGGCAGCAGGCGCGCAAAUUACCCAAUCCCGACACGGGGAGGUAGUGACAAUAAAUACUGAUACAGGGCUCUUUUGGGUCUUGUAAUUGGAAUGAGUACAAUUUAAACCUCUUAACGAGGAACAAUUGGAGGGCAAGUCUGGUGCCAGCAGCCGCGGUAAUUCCAGCUCCAAUAGCGUAUAUUAAAGUUGUUGCAGUUAAAAAGCUCGUAGUUGAACCUUUGGCCUGGCUGGCAGGUCCGCCUCACCGCGUGCACUUGUCCGGCCGGGCCUUCUCUUCUGGAGAACCGCAUGCCCUUCACUGGGUGUGUUGGGGACCAGGACUUUUACUUUGAAAAAAUUAGAGUGUUCAAAGCAGGCCUUUGCUCGAAUACGUUAGCAUGGAAUAAUAGAAUAGGACGUGCGGUCCUAUUUUGUUGGUUUCUAGGACCGCCGUAAUGAUUAAUAGGGACAGUCGGGGGCAUCAGUAUUCAAUUGUCAGAGGUGAAAUUCUUGGAUUUAUUGAAGACUAACUACUGCGAAAGCAUUUGCCAAGGAUGUUUUCAUUAAUCAGUGAACGAAAGUUAGGGGAUCGAAGACGAUCAGAUACCGUCGUAGUCUUAACCAUAAACUAUGCCGACUAGGGAUCGGGCGGUGUUUUUAUUAUGACCCGCUCGGCACCUUACGAGAAAUCAAA
RNAcentral lists this ribosomal RNA (1019 nucleotides) under Pseudochaetosphaeronema sp. RNAcentral describes it as "SSU rRNA". It matches the Rfam family "Eukaryotic small subunit ribosomal RNA", at positions 75 to 1102 of the family's 1831-position model. Lineage: Eukaryota; Fungi; Ascomycota; Dothideomycetes; Pleosporales. The record is from RNAcentral.